AAGGAAGAUUAAUCCAGGAUGGGAUCAUGAGUUCACAUGUCCGCAUGAUUAAAGGUAUUUUCCGGUAGACGAUGGGGAUGCGUUCCAUUAGAUAGUAGGCGGGGUAACGGCCCACCUAGUCAACGAUGGAUAGGGGUUCUGAGAGGAAGGUCCCCCACAUUGGAACUGAGACACGGUCCAAACUCCUACGGGAGGCAGCAGUGAGGAAUAUUGGUCAAUGGGCGAUGGCCUGAACCAGCCAAGUAGCGUGAAGGAUGACUGCCCUAUGGGUUGUAAACUUCUUUUAUAAAGGAAUAAAGUCGGGUAUGCAUACCCGUUUGCAUGUACUUUAUGAAUAAGGAUCGGCUAACUCCGUGCCAGCAGCCGCGGUAAUACGGAGGAUCCGAGCGUUAUCCGGAUUUAUUGGGUUUAAAGGGAGCGUAGAUGGAUGUUUAAGUCAGUUGUGAAAGUUUGCGGCUCAACCGUAAAAUUGCAGUUGAUACUGGAUGUCUUGAGUGCAGUUGAGGCAGGCGGAAUUCGUGGUGUAGCGGUGAAAUGCUUAGAUAUCACGAAGAACUCCGAUUGCGAAGGCAGCCUGCUAAGCUGCAACUGACAUUGAGGCUCGAAAGUGUGGGUAUCAAACAGGAUUAGAUACCCUGGUAGUCCACACGGUAAACGAUGAAUACUCGCUGUUUGCGAUAUACGGCAAGCGGGCAAGCGAAAGCGUUAAGUAUUCCUCCUGGGGAGUACGCCGGCAACGGUGAAACUCAAAGGAAUUGACGGGGGCCCGCACAAGCGGAGGAACAUGUGGUUUAAUUCGAUGAUACGCGAGGAACCUUACCCGGGCUUAAAUUGCACUCGAAUGAUCCGGAAACGGUUCAGCUAGCAAUAGCGAGUGUGAAGGUGCUGCAUGGUUGUCGUCAGCUCGUGCCGUGAGGUGUCGGCUUAAGUGCCAUAACGAGCGCAACCCUUGUUGUCAGUUACUAACAGGUGAUGGUGAGGACUCUGACAAGACUGCCAUCGUAAGAUGUGAGGAAGGUGGGGAGGACGUCAAAUCAGCACGGCCCUUACGUCCGGGGGUACACACGUGUUACAAUGGGGGGUACAGAGGGCCGCUACCACGCGAGUGGAUGCCAAUCCCUAAAACCCCUCUCAGUUCGGAGUGGAGUGUGCAACCCGACUCCACGAAGCUGGAUUCGCUAGUAAUCGCGCGUCAGCC
RNAcentral lists this ribosomal RNA (1198 nucleotides) under uncultured bacterium. RNAcentral's name for it is "bacterial SSU rRNA". It matches the Rfam family "Bacterial small subunit ribosomal RNA", at positions 155 to 1354 of the family's 1533-position model. The record is from RNAcentral.